AGCGCAGAUCCUGCCGGCUCUGGACUAGCCGCUCAGCACCAGGGCGGAAGGAAGACGAGGCGAGGCAAGCGCCAAGCUUCCAUCCGGACUUCAAGGCCAGUGGCUGGGUCUGGUUUUCUCAACACGGCCUCCUAGUCUCCUUCCCGCUUGGGCAUCUGUUUUUCUUAUAUAGACCCUGAAGCCGCCCGUGAUGUUCUGUAAGCAGGUUCCGCUUCAGAAUCAGAGGUACUUAAGAGGGAACCUGGAUGCUAGACCUGCCCUUGCUGCUGGCCUCAGUUUCUUUACCUGUAAAACAGGGAUUUUGGAACUGUUAAAUUAAAUCAAACUUAAAAGAAUUACAACUUAAAGCUGCUGGAACUUUACAUGAUCCCGAGCCUUGAGAGGAAUGUGGCUAUGCAGCCUGAGUCAUGUGGCAUGCAGAUGCAACCUCUGCCUUUUUCCGCUGUAAAUAAUUAAGAAGACCAAGUAGCAUCCAAGAGUCACCUAAGCUGAAGAUUCCCUUGAGAACAAGUACUGUCCUGUGGUUUCAUGGCCUUUCUUCCAUUUGUGGUUCUUGCCAAGCGGAAUUUAAAUGACAUCUUAUCAAGAUGGAUAAACCCUAGUUUCCCAGUGCUGGAAUAUAGAAAAUGGAUGGACAAGUAAAUCCCACUCAGCACCCAUAGCCCAGGCAUGGGGACCUCAACACAUUUGAGCCGCAGAGAUCACCUUUCAUUGUGAAUAGCUCUGAGAUGAUACUUCUGGUUGAAUGUCUUUUUGUCACUUCCGGCUGGAUCUACCAUGAAAGAUUUCUGAAUCCAGGAAGAGAGAUUGACUGGGCAACAUGUUAUUCAGAAACAGGACCUUGCCCUGUCACUCAGGAUGGAGUUCAGUGGUCCAAUCAUGGCUCAUUGUAGCCUCAAACUCCCAGGCUCAAGCAAUCCUACCACGUCAGUCUUCCCAGUAGCUGACAGGGUCUCACUCUGUCGCCCAGGCUGGAGUGCAGUGGCAUGAUCUUGGCUCACUGUAGUGUAGACUUCCCAGCCUCAAGGGAUCCUCCCACCCCAGACUCCCAAGUAGCUGGAAUUACAGGUCUCAUGCUCUCACUCAGGCUGCAGUACAGUGGCACAACCUCUACUCACUGCAGCCUCUACCUGCCAGGCUCAAGCAAUUCUCCUGACUUAGCCUCCCGAGUAGCUGGGAUUACAGUUGAAGCAUAUGUCCUGUGAGCUUAGGGGUGCUACAAGUUGACCACUGCAGCAGUAAAGAUGAUUCUGAAGAAUGGCAUGGGAUGGAUCCUUUCGAAUGCACUUGAGCAGCGGUCUCCAACCACAGGGCCACAGAGCUGGAGCUGGAUCUACCAUGAAAGACUUCUGAAUCCAGGAAGAGAGACUGACUGGGCAACAUGUUAUUCAGGAGAUGGGGUCUCACCCUGUCGCCCAGGCUUGAGUACAGUAGUGCUAUCACAGCUCACUGCAGCCUUGAACUCCUGGGCUAAGGAUCCUCCUACCUGAGCCUCCUGAGUAGCUGGGACUGUAGGGUCUCCCUCUGUUGUCCAAGGCUGGAGUGUAGUAGUGCUAUCACAGCUGACUGCAGCCUCAACCUUCCAGGCUGAAGCGAUCCUCCCAUCUCAACCUCCCACGUGGCUGAGACUACAGGCGCUUGCCACUAUGCCCAACUAAUAUUUGGAAUUUUCCUAUACGUGGAUUCCAGAGGGGUGACAGCGAAACGUGGGACCAUCCAGUUGCAGGAAAACGAGCUUAACACGCCCACUGAUUCUACAUUAUGCUCCUACCUCCCGGCAGCCUCUCCAGGCCCAGAACUUUCUCCAGUCGGCCUCCACAGACCAAGCUCAUGACUCACAAUGGCCUAUUUAGGCCCAUACCCUACCUCACGGCAGUCUCCGCAGAUGAGGCUACUGCCUCACAACAGCCUCCACAGGCACAGCUCCAUCGUUACAAUGGCCUCUUUAGACCCAGCUCCUGCCUCCCAGCCUUCUCUCUAGGCCCUGAACUUUCUCAAGUCGACGUCACCAGGCCCAGCUCAUGCUUCUUGGCAGCCUCUCCAGGCCCAGCUCUUCCUCCCGGCGGCCUCUGCAGGCCCAGACUGUCAUCAAGUCGGCCUGUCCAGGGCCAGCUCCUGCCUCCCGGCGCCCUCUGCAGGCCCAAGUCGUCCUCAAGUUGGCCUCCCCAGGCCCAGCUCCAGCCUCUCGGCGGCCUCUCCGGGUGCAAAAGUUCCUCGAGUCAGCCUCUCCAGGCCCAGCUCCUCCUGCCUCCCAGUGCCUCUUUCGGCCCAGCCCAGCUCAUGCCUCUGGGCGGCCUUCCCAGGCCCCGCUUUUGACUUUUGGCGGCCUCUGCAGGCCUCGACAAGGCCCGGCCUCCUGCCUCCCGAAGCCUGCACAGGCCCAGCCUCUGCCUCACAGCAGACUCUCCACGCCCAGCUAGCUCUCGCCUCACUGCGGCCUCCCCAGUCCAAAGCUCCUGCCUCUCGGCCGCUUCGGCAGGCCCAGCUCCCGCCUGCCAGUGCCUCUUCAGGCCCAUGGGGCUCAUUCCUCACAACGGCCUUUCCAGGCCCCGUUUUUCCCUUCCGGCGGCCUCUCCGGGCCCAGAACCUCCUCAAGUUGGCCUCUCCAGACCCACUUGCACCCUCCGGGCGUCCUCUCCAGGCCCAGCUCUUCCUCCCGGCUGCGUCUCCAGGCCCGACUCCUGCCUCCCAACAACCUCUUUGGACUCAGUGCCUGCCCAUCUCCUGGCGGCCUUGGUCGGCCCACAGCUUCCUCAAGCCAAGCUCCCCAGGCCCAGGUCAGGCCUCACGGUGGCCUCUCCAGGAUCAGCUCCUGCCCUCCGAUGGUGUCUCCAGGCCCCAAAUGGUCUCCGGCCAGUGGGCUCCUCCACGCCCAGCUUGGGCCUCCCGGCGACCUCUGCAGGCCCAAGUCGUCCUGAAGUCGGCCUCUCCCGGCCCUGCCUCCCAGCAAGUAAGCAAGCUUUUUUGGCUUAGCUCCUGCCCAGCUCCCAACCGCCUUUGUAGGCCCCGAACUUUCUCCAGCCAAGCUCUUCGGGCCCACCUCCUGCCUCCCGGUGGCCUGUACAGGCCCAGCUCUGGCUGGAGAACAGCCUCUGCAGGCCCCGCUCUUGCCUCCCAGGGGCCUCUCCAGGCCCAGCUCUCGCCCCCACAGCGGCCUCCCGGGGCCAAGUCCCUGCCUGCCUCCCGGCAUCCCGCAUGCAGCCCAGCUCCUCCCUCACGGUGGCCUGUUGAUGCCCAACUCAUGCCUCUGGCACCCUGCCCAGAGGCGUGAGCCCCUGCCUCACACCGGCUCCUCCCACGCUGACAGAGGUCAGCGUGAGCCCCUGCCUCAACAGGCCACCGUGAGGGAGGAGCAGGGCCGCACGCGGGCUGCCGGAAGGCGGACAGGGACUUGGCCCCGGGAGGCCGCGGUGGGGCAAGAGCUUGGCCUGGAGACGCCCCUGGGAGGCAACAGCAGGGCCUGCAGACGCUCUUCUCCAGCCAGAGCUGGGACUGUACAGGCCACUGGGAGGCAGGAUGUGGGCCUGAAGAGCUUGGCUGCAGAAACUUUGGGGUCUACAAACGCCGGCGAGAGCUGAGCCGAAAGAGCUUGCUUGCUGGGAGGCAGGAGCUGGGCCGGGAGAUGCAGCCAGGAGGAACAGCUGGGCCUGCAGAGGCCGCCAUGCGGGAGGCAGAGGCUGGGCCUCCUCAAGUUGGCCUCUCCAGACCCACUUGCAGCCUCCCGGCGUCCUCUCCGGGCCCAGCUCUUCCUCCCGGCUGCGUCUCCAGGCCCAACUCCGGCCUCCCAACAAGGUCUUUGGACUCAGCUCCCCCGCAGCUUCCAGCGGCCCUGGUAGGCCCACAACUUCCUGAAGCCAAGCUCCCCAGGCCCAGCUCAGGCCUCACGGUGGCCUCUCCAGGCUCAGCUCCUGCCCUCCGACAGCGUCUCCAGGCCCCAAACGGCCUCCGGUCGGUGGGCUCCUCUAGGCCCAGCUUGGGCCUCCCGGCAGCCUCUGCAGGCCCAAAUCGUCCUGAAGUCGGCCUCUCCAGGCCCAGCUCCAGCCUCCCGGCGGCCUCUGCAGGCCUAAGUCGUCCUCAAGUCGGCCUGGAAAUGGGCCUGGAAGAGCUGCAAGUCGGCCUCCCCGGGCCCAGCUCCGUCCUCUCGGCGGCCUCUCCAGGUGCAAAACUUCCUCGAGUCAGCCUCUCCAGGCCCAGCUCCUCCUGCCUCAGUGGCCUCUUUCGGCCCAGCCCAGCUCAUGGCUCUCGGCGGUCUUCCCAGGCCCCGCUUUUGACUUUUGGUGGCCUCUUCAGGCCCAGAACUUGACCUCCAGUCGGCCUUUGCAGGCCCGGCCUCCUGCCUCUCGAAGGUCUGCAUGGGCCCGGCCUCGGCCUCACAGCGGACUCUCCACGCCCAGCUAGCUCUCGCCUCACUGCACCCUCCCCAGUCCAAAGCUCCUGCCUUUCGGCCACUUCGGCAGGCCCAGCUCCUGCCUGCCAGUGGCCUCUUUAGGCCCAGCUCAUUCCUCACAACGGCCUUUCCAGGCCCCGUUUUUCCCUUCCGGCAGCCUCUUGGCCUCUAAUUUUUUUAUCUUUUGUGUAUAAAUCCCAAAUUAUGGAAUUUUGGAAUAUUUCCACCAUUAUAUAAAUAUUUUGGUAGGUAAUUUAAAAAAAA
This 4651-nucleotide long non-coding RNA is filed under the name Homo sapiens (human). Its description in RNAcentral is "long independently transcribed non-coding RNA 265 (LINC00265)". Lineage: Eukaryota; Metazoa; Chordata; Mammalia; Primates; Hominidae. The record is from RNAcentral.